RNAcentral lists this ribosomal RNA (468 nucleotides) under uncultured bacterium. Its description in RNAcentral is "partial 16S ribosomal RNA". It matches the Rfam family "Bacterial small subunit ribosomal RNA", at positions 28 to 507 of the family's 1533-position model. The record is from RNAcentral.
GACGAACGCUGGCGGCGUGCUUAACACAUGCAAGUCGAACGGAAAGGCCCUGCUUUUGUGGGGUGCUCGAGUGGCGAACGGGUGAGUAACACGUGAGUAACCUGCCCUUGACUUUGGGAUAACCUCAGGAAACUGGGGCUAAUACCGGAUAGGAGCUCCUGCUGCAUGGUGGGGGUUGGAAAGUUUCGGCGGUUGGGGAUGGACUCGCGGCUUAUCAGCUUGUUUGUGAGGUAGGGGCUUACCAAGGCUUUGACGGGUAGCCGGCCUGAGAGGGUGACCGGCCACAUUGGGACUGAGAUACGGCCCAGACUCCUACGGGAGGCAGCAGUGGGGAAUAUUGCACAAUGGGGGGAAGCCUGAUGCAGCAACGCCGCGUGCGGGAUGACGGCCUUCGGGUUGUAAACCGCUUUCGCCUGUGACGAAGCGUGAGUGACGGUAAUGGGUAAAGAAGCACCGGCUAACUACGUG